This 497-nucleotide ribosomal RNA is filed under the name uncultured bacterium. RNAcentral describes it as "partial 16S ribosomal RNA". It matches the Rfam family "Bacterial small subunit ribosomal RNA", at positions 28 to 507 of the family's 1533-position model. The record is from RNAcentral.
GAUGAACGCUGGCGGCGUGCCUAAUACAUGCAAGUCGAGCGAACAGAUGAGGAGCUUGCUCCUCUGACGUUAGCGGCGGACGGGUGAGUAACACGUGGAUAACCUACCUAUAAGACUGGGAUAACUUCGGGAAACCGGAGCUAAUACCGGAUAAUAUAUUGAACCGCAUGGUUCAAUAGUGAAAGACGGUUUUGCUGUCACUUAUAGAUGGAUCCGCGCCGCAUUAUCUAGUUGGUAAGGUAACGGCUUACCAAGGCAACGAUGCGUAGCCGACCUGAGAGGGGGAUCGGCCACACUGGAACUGAGACACGGUCCAGACGCCUACGGGAGGCAGCAGUAGGGAAUCUUCCGCAAUGGGCGAAAGCCUGACGGAGCAACGCCGCGUGAGUGAUGAAGGUCUUCGGAGCGUAAAACUCUGUUAUGAGGGAAGAACAAAUGUGUAAGUAACUAUGCACGUCUUGACGGUACCUAAUCAGAAAGCCACGGCUAACUACGUG